CCCACCACCACUUCAUUCAUGCGUCUUUCCGUAAAUAGCUUAUGUUGCUUCGUUUGUUCACCGGUGGAAGUUUUGGCUGUGCCGAACAUUGGAAGUUAAUUUUUGCGUAGUUGUUGAUGGUUUCGUUGUAAGUCCUCGUGGACUUCAAGACACAACACCAUGUCUCGUUAUAGAGAUUCAGGAAAUGCAGACUGCAAGAUAUAUGUUGGAGAUCUGGGAUCUUCAGCUUCCAAGCAAGAUUUAGAGGAUUCCUUUUCAUACUAUGGACCGAUCAGGAAUGUUUGGGUGGCCAGGAAUCCACCAGGCUUUGCCUUUGUGGAGUUUGAGGAUCCUAGAGAUGCCGAAGAUGCUGUGAGAGGCUUAGAUGGGCGCACUGUUUGUGGUCGCCGAGUGAGGGUAGAAAUGUCGAAUGGUGCUCGUAGCAAGGGUGGCUUCCGAGGCCCUCCUCCUCGUCGAAGUCGUCCGUUUCACCCUGAGGACAGGUGUUAUGAGUGUGGCGAACGUGGCCACUAUGCUAGAGACUGUACUCGCUAUAGUAGCAGCCGACGUGGAGGGCGUCGCAGGUCAUACAGCCGGAGCAGGAGCCGUUCCCGUUCAAGGGACCGUCGCUCACGCAGCCGCAGCGCUUCACGCUCCAGGUCACGCAAUCGCAGCAAGUCCCGCAGCCCCAAGGACCGCAGCAAGAGCCGAUCCAAGUCCCGAUCCCGUUCCCGCAGCAGGUAAAGAAGCUUCUCGUAACCCAGGGCAAACUAAUACACCAUUCGCUGUUUCCAUCGUGCACCAGUCAGAGAGUGUUUGGCUGUUAGGAUCACACCUGCUGAAUGUAACUGAAGAUAUAUGUUCUAGUGAUAUUCCCUCAGAUGCUGUACGUAGUUUGCCCCUCAACAGUCCUAGGUUUAAACUAUGUUUAAUGUUGUCAUUUAUAAGGACAUUUUUAUUGAUCGUA
This 946-nucleotide unclassified non-coding RNA is filed under the name Homalodisca vitripennis (glassy-winged sharpshooter). RNAcentral's name for it is "serine/arginine-rich splicing factor 7-like, transcript variant X1". The record is from RNAcentral. Lineage: Eukaryota; Metazoa; Arthropoda; Insecta; Hemiptera; Cicadellidae.